This 467-nucleotide ribosomal RNA is filed under the name uncultured bacterium. RNAcentral describes it as "partial 16S ribosomal RNA". It matches the Rfam family "Bacterial small subunit ribosomal RNA", at positions 28 to 507 of the family's 1533-position model. The record is from RNAcentral.
GACGAACGCUGGCGGCGUGCUUAACACAUGCAAGUCGAACGGAAAGGCCUCUUUCGGGGGGUACUCGAGUGGCGAACGGGUGAGUAACACGUGAGUAACCUGCCCUUGACUUUGGGAUAACUUCAGGAAACUGGGGCUAAUACCGGAUAGGAGCUCCUGCUGCAUGGUGGGGGUUGGAAAGUUUCGGCGGUUGGGGAUGGACUCGCGGCUUAUCAGCUUGUUGGUGGGGUAGUGGCUUACCAAGGCUUUGACGGGUAGCCGGCCUGAGAGGGUGACCGGCCACAUUGGGACUGAGAUACGGCCCAGACUCCUACGGGAGGCAGCAGUGGGGAAUAUUGCACAAUGGGUGGAAGCCUGAUGCAGCAACGCCGUGUGCGGGAUGACGGCCUUCGGGUUGUAAACCGCUUUCGCUCAUGACGAAGCUUUGUGUGACGGUAGUGGGUAAAGAAGCACCGGCUAACUACGUG